RNAcentral lists this ribosomal RNA (188 nucleotides) under Aphelenchoides sp. AU-2007. Its description in RNAcentral is "partial 18S ribosomal RNA". It matches the Rfam family "Eukaryotic small subunit ribosomal RNA", at positions 1641 to 1831 of the family's 1831-position model. Lineage: Eukaryota; Metazoa; Nematoda; Chromadorea; Rhabditida; Aphelenchoididae. The record is from RNAcentral.
UUGAUUACGUCCCUGCCCUUUGUACACACCGCCCGUCGCUACCCGGGACUGAGUUGUUUCGAGAAAUUUACGGACUGCUGGCGUAAAGGCAACUUUGCAUCAAGUGGAAAGUAAAUUAAUCGCAAUGGCUUGAACCGGGUAAAAGUCGUAACAAGGUAUCGGUAGGUGAACCUGCCGAUGGAUCAUUA